Molecule: ribosomal RNA, 929 nt
Filed under: uncultured organism
Description: bacterial SSU rRNA
Rfam family: Bacterial small subunit ribosomal RNA
Source: RNAcentral
UAUUGGAUCCAGACUUUGAUUCUGGCUCAGGAUGAACGCUAGCUACAGGCUUAACACAUGCAAGUCGAGGGGAAACGAUAUUGGAAGCUUGCUUCCGAUAGGCGUCGACCGGCGCACGGGUGAGUAACGCGUAUCCAACCUGCCCACCACUUGGGAAUAACCUUGCGAAAGUAAGACUAAUACCCAAUGAUAUCUCUAGAAGACAUCUGAAAGAGAUUAAAGAUUUAUCGGUGAUGGAUGGGGAUGCGUCUGAUUAGCUUGUUGGCGGGGUAACGGCCCACCAAGGCGACGAUCAGUAGGGGUUCUGAGAGGAAGGUCCCCCACAUUGGAACUGAGACACGGUCCAAACUCCUACGGGAGGCAGCAGUGAGGAAUAUUGGUCAAUGGGCGAGAGCCUGAACCAGCCAAGUAGCGUGCAGGAUGACGGCCCUAUGGGUUGUAAACUGCUUUUAUAAGGGAAUAAAGUGAGCCUCGUGAGGCUUUUUGCAUGUACCUUAUGAAUAAGGACCGGCUAAUUCCGUGCCAGCAGCCGCGGUAAUACGGAAGGUCCGGGCGUUAUCCGGAUUUAUUGGGUUUAAAGGGAGCGUAGGCCGGAGAUUAAGCGUGUUGUGAAAUGUAGAUGCUCAACAUCUGCACUGCAGCGCGAACUGGUUUCCUUGAGUACGCACAAAGUGGGCGGAAUUCGUGGUGUAGCGGUGAAAUGCUUAGAUAUCACGAAGAACUCCGAUUGCGAAGGCAGCUCACUGGAGCGCAACUGACGCUGAAGCUCGAAAGUGCGGGUAUCGAACAGGAUUAGAUACCCUGGUAGUCCGCACGGUAAACGAUGGAUGCCCGCUGUUGGUCUGAAUAGGUCAGCGGCCAAGCGAAAGCAUUAAGCAUCCCACCUGGGGAGUACGCCGGCAACGGUGCAACUCAAAUGAAUUGACGGA